Molecule: ribosomal RNA, 2142 nt
Filed under: Triticum aestivum (bread wheat)
Lineage: Eukaryota; Viridiplantae; Streptophyta; Magnoliopsida; Poales; Poaceae
Description: partial small subunit ribosomal RNA
Source: RNAcentral
AUACUCUACCAGAUCAUGCCACAGGUCAGAGAAGGUACCAGGCAGCAGCGGUGGUGGGACACAUCUCAUGGCAGUAUUGGGGGCGGCACCUCAAAGAAAACACAUGAUAGACUGCAAACAUUGAAACUUCAAAAACUCGAGAAAGAGCUUAAGGAGCACUUUGAGAAAUACAGUUACCUGCUUGUGCUGGAUGAUGUUUGGUCUACUGAUAUGUUGGAGCUGAUAAAUAAGUCACUGCCUAAAAGUGAGAAAGGUAGCAGAGUGAUUGUUACGUCAAGGUUCCAGGCUGUUGCCAGUGCUUGUGUAAGAAAUAAAGGAGAUUAUCUUUACAAGGCUGUAAUCCUCAGCGGGGACAAAUCUGAAGAAUUAUUUAUGGACAUCAUGGCUGAAGCUAAAGGUUGCCAGGAACAGCAAGAUAAGAGCAAAAUUAUACCUGCACACUGGGAAAUGUGCAUGAGGCUGCCAUUGGCGGUAGUUAUCAUGGCUGGAUAUGUUGCCUGCAACCCACAUAUUUCUGACUGGAAACAAGUUUUUAAGAAUCUGGUGCCAGACUAUCUGAAACCUCUUUCCCAUGAUGGAUUAAUGAGCAUUAUUGAUAAUUGCUAUUCUGAUAUGCCACCUGAGAUCAAAAGAUGCUCUCUAUAUCUCAGUAUAUUUCCGAGCGGUUCACAAAAUAGCAGGAAACGCCUCUUAAGAAAAUGGAUCUCAGAAGCUCUUGUCAGUGAGAAACAAGGAUUGAGCGCAGAAGAGGUCGCGGAAACAUGCUUCAAUCAUUUGAUAAAGAGACAGAUAAUUCGAGCUGUGAAGCACAGUAGCAAUGGAAAGGUGAAGACCUAUGAAGUUCAUAACAUGAUACAUGAGUAUCUUGUGUGCAAGGCGGGUGAGGAAAAUUUUGUCACCGUGGUUGGUGGCCAGUGGUUGAUGGCGCCGCCCAGUAAUAUGGUUUGCCGGUUGUCACUUCAGAGCGAUGGUUUGAAGACUGAGAGUGCAAAACAUAACAUGAACCUAUCUCAUGUGCGAUCGUUGAGCGUAUUUGGUACUUUGAAUGGAUUGCUUUCCAAGCCACAAAAGUUGAGAAUUGUGCAACAUUUGGAUCUUGAAGGCUGUACAGAUUUCAAACAAGAACACACAAAAGUUGUUUGCAAACUUUUUCUUCUCAAGCACCUCAGCCUCCGUAGAACAGACACCACAAAGCUUCCUAAAGAGAUAGGGAAGCUUCAGUAUUUAGAGACCCUUGACAUCAGGGAAACUGGUAUUACAAAGUUACCCAAAACUAUUUGCCAGCUGCAAAAGGUGAAGAAUAUACUUGGUGGGAACAAAAAGACACGGAAGGCAUUGAAGCUUCCUGAGGAUAUGAAGAAGAAGCCAAUAAAAUCCCUCUGUGUACUGUCAGGCAUCGAAAUUGUCGAAGGACCAUCUUCAGUAGCAGAUUUCCAGCUGACCAAGCUGAGGAAGCUUGUAAUCUACAAGUUGAACAUCAAGAAUGAGGGUAAACUUUUCGAUGAAUUGAGGUUCUCUAUUGAAGAUCUUUGUGGCUACUCGCUCCAAACUCUUGUAAUUGAUGAUGGGUCUGCUGGUUUUCUCAGCUCAUGGGGUUGUCUCUCCUCCCCGCCCAAGUUUCUGAAUGCCCUUGAGCUGUCUUGCAAACUGCAGGCGAAAGUGGUUAAUCUCCCAAAAUGGAUCAUUGAACUGGACGCACUGACAAAGCUGACCCACUCAGUCGCGAUGCUUAGCUCAGAUGCUUUGGUGCAACUUAGCCAGCUUGAUGAUGCAGAACAGGGUCUAGAAUCUGAAGCCACUUGCAGGCAGAUCCAGCUUCACUUGGAACAUCCUAACAGUACCAUGAUGAUCAUAGUUCACCCUGGUGGAUUCGAGAGUCUGAAGCUUCUUCGUUUUUCUGCUCCUUACAUGCCAAAAUUGGUGUUUCUGGAGAAGGCUACAGCGAACCUCGAAAGGCUUGAUCUACGGUUCUUUGCUUUUGAGGGAGUUGACGGUAUAGAACACCUUAAGGUUCUGAAAGAGUUGCACUUAAGUUUACACAACAAUGGAAGUCAGGGUACCAAAAAGAUAAUACAACAGAUUUCAAAUGAAGCACGGCAAUGUGAGAAUGGACCAAAGUUGAUUGUCGAUCAGUACCAUUAG